GACAGCUUGCUUACAUCUACAAGCAACAUUUUACUGUUGUCUGAAAGACACCUUGCUUGAUGCAGUCUCUAUAAGUACUUCACAUGUAUCAACACUCCACAAACACUGUGCUGAAAGACAGCAUGCUUGCUUCAGUCUCUAUAAAUACUUCACAUGUAUCAACACUCUACAAACACUCAACUACACUCAACUGAGACGAAUUAAACUUUCAAAUUAAUAUAUCGACUCUUUGCAUCUGGAUCUUGCGUUGUUUCUCGGCUCUCACAUCAAGGUUUUAAAUUUUUUGUCGGCUUUUCACAUCUCCCUCUUGCAUUGUUGAGAGGAGAAGAUACAAGAAAGUCAUAAGCGAACGGAUGUAUUGGUAAAACAGGAAGAGACACAAGAGACUCCCCGCAUUUUGUUUUUAUUGUUUUGUCCUGA
This is a long non-coding RNA of Helianthus annuus (common sunflower), 420 nucleotides long. RefSeq lists it as uncharacterized. The transcript is spliced from 3 exons. Lineage: Eukaryota; Viridiplantae; Streptophyta; Magnoliopsida; Asterales; Asteraceae. The record is from RefSeq and is a predicted model, not a curated record.